Molecule: long non-coding RNA, 1545 nt
Filed under: Salmo trutta (river trout)
Lineage: Eukaryota; Metazoa; Chordata; Actinopteri; Salmoniformes; Salmonidae
Description: lncRNA (ENSSTUG00000009020.1)
Source: RNAcentral
CAGUGACGAUCACCUCAAAGUCACUUAUGCCACUCGUUUGGCCCAUUAUAAUGUUCAGUAACUUAAUGCCUCGAUGCCUGUCUGUCUGCUUUAUAUAGCAAGCCACGGCCACAUGACUCACUAUCUGUAGGAGCGAAUCAUUUUCGUGAACAGGGUGGUGUACCUAAUGAACUGACCUCUGGGUUUAUCUUUAAAUAGGACAAAUCUGAGGGGGCACGUGCCUCUGUGCCCCCAAUGGGCAUGACGCCUCUACCUGUUAUCUGUCUGGUAUGUCUUAUUGCUUACAAAUCUAUUGUCUACUUUCAGGUAAUUCCAGUGAAGUAGCAGUGUCCCUCAGUCCUUCUGCUGAUGUUGAGGGCAGCUCAGGGAUGUUAUCCUGCUGUAGUACUGCCCACCCUCCAGCGGAGAGCUACACCUGGUACCAUACUGGAGGAUAUACGGCUGGUGAUAAGGGACAGAUGAUGACCAUCACCAAAAUCAGCUCAACAGACAGUGGAAACUACUACUGUGAAGCCCUGACCACCAAUAGACCAAUCCACUCCUCAGCGUUGUCUAUUAAUGUCCAGUUGACGCCAACCCUGCAGUAGAGCAGAGGACACACCUUCACUGAGAGGGACAGGGCAGAGUUACAGCACCACUAACAUGAGGACAGUGGGCAAUACUGCUGUGUAGCGGUGAACAAGCAUGGACCACAGAGCUCUACUGUUACCAUGACCGUGGGGAAAUGUAGGUGCAAGGGGAUGCAUUGAAAAUAUACAGUAUUUUUCCUGUUCUUUUCCUGUUCUGAAACAAAUGACAGUAUGUACACCAGUGUGUAGCUAUCCCUGGCCUAUAGAGCUCACAGUAGUUUCUUCUCUGCAGUAAAUGGCCAGUCCUCCAUACUGUGGAGGUUGGUGCUGACAGUGGGGUCCCAUUCUGUCACGUCCUGACCAGUAAAAGGGGUUAUUUGUCAUUGUAGUUUGGUCAGGGCGUGGCAGGGGGUGUUUGUUUUGUGUGGUUCGGUGUUUUUGGUUUAUGUUCUAUAUUUUCUAUUCUAUGUGUAUAUCUAGUUUUCUAUUUCUAUGUUGGGUUUUUGGCAAUGACCUCCAAUUAGAAGCAGCUGGUUGUUGUUGUCUCUAAUUGGAGGCCAUAUUUAGUUGGGUUUGUUUUCACUUGUGUUUUGGUGGGUGGUUAUUUUCCUGUAUAGCCUGUGUUGCCUUACGGAACUGUUUUCGUCAUUUGUUUAUUUUGUUUAAGUGUUUUCUUUAAAAUAAAUUAAGAAGAUGAGCACUUUACCCGCUGUGCCUUGGUCCAAUCCUUACGACGCCUAUGACACAUUCACUCUGAUCAUCAUUAUAACAGUGGCUUGUAUUAGGAGGUGAGUGAAAAAGUUACAAUACGUUUAAGCGUUAAAAUUAAAGUGAUGUAAUCUGUAAUCUCUUUUUUGUUUUCAAGUGGCGCAGCGGUCUAAAGCACUGCAUUGCAGUGCUAGAGAUGUCACUACAGACACCCUGGUUCGAAUCCAGGCUGUAUCACAACUGGCUGUGUUUGGGAGUCCCAUAGGAC